UGUUACUAAAAUUAUAAUUAACCAUAAAUUAUUUUAGAUCUAAUCUAAAUAUAUUCAUGAUCAAAAUAAAUUUAAAUUUUUUUCGCUAUUCUUCAUCAUGAGACUUAAUCACAAUAGCACCUCCACACAUAAUAAGAGUACCCUAUUGAAUAGGAAGAGAGGGUCUUUAAAUUCUACUUGCUCAUAUGAUCGGAUGACUUGGUGAUCUUCUCAAUUCAAAUACUGGAGUACUAAGAUUUGAAAUCUAAUUUCAAAAACUAAUUACAUCAUCAUGUAAAUUAUCAAACAAACUAAGCAUGCACAUGAAUAUGAUCUUGCUCAUAUGAUCGGAUGAUUUGGUGAUCUUUUCAAUUUGAGUACUGGACUACUAAGAUCUAAAAUUUAAUUUCAAAAAUUAAUUACAUCAUCAUGUAAAUUAUCAAACAAACUAAGCAUGCAUAUGAAUAUGAUCAUAUCAUAUAUGUUAUACAUCUAAUCUUAUUAGAUCAAUGCAUUAGAUACAUUAUUUCAGAUCUGAAACUACUUUUAUAUAGUAUAUAAAAUUAUUAAUUUAGAUCUAAAAUAAUCUAAAAAUCUAUUUCAAACAUAUGUAUGAUUGCAUAGAAAAGUUCUGGUUAGAGAGGUGAUCAAACAUGUAUCAAUAUUGUGAUGAAAUCAGAUCUAAAACUUUGUCAAAUAAAUUUAAAUCUAAGCCUGAUUCCAACUUCAAUUCUCUAAUUGAAUUAUAUCAUAAAAAAUCUAUCAUAAUAUAUUUAAAUCCAUGUAUAAUCAAGUAUAAAAUCAGCACAAAAAUCUGCAUAGAAAAUUCUGCUAAAAUAGAAUUUUAGUAGUUUAGAUUUCGGGGCUGAUUUUGAUUCGAUAUUCUAAUCAAAAUCAAAUAAAAAUUAUACUAAAAAAUCAGAAGAGACCAAGGUUUAAUCAUAUCAAAAAUUUUGAUUCAAAAUCAAACAAAAAAAUCAAAAAAAUCUAAAAAUUUGACUAUGUGAUCAUGAUAUACAGGUCUGGCUUUGAUACCAAUUGAAGAAAAAAUUUGUUCGAUUGCAUCAGAUGCCAGAAAGAUAGAAUAGAUAAGUAAUUAAAAUUUUUAUAAUAUUUAUGAAUUCUCAUCUUCAUCCACUAUAGAAAAUAAUCAAGAUUGAAGAAGCUCCUCGAUCAAUAUACUUCAUAAGAUCUGGAUAUAUGGAUCUUCUGCUUCGCAUGCACGCUAAACACUGUAGGAG
This 1220-nucleotide long non-coding RNA is filed under the name Elaeis guineensis (African oil palm). RNAcentral describes it as "long non-coding RNA (EGUI_LNC053380)". The record is from RNAcentral. Lineage: Eukaryota; Viridiplantae; Streptophyta; Magnoliopsida; Arecales; Arecaceae.